This 115-nucleotide ribosomal RNA is filed under the name Bacillus thuringiensis serovar chinensis CT-43. Lineage: Bacteria; Bacillati; Bacillota; Bacilli; Caryophanales; Bacillaceae. The record is from RNAcentral.
GGUGAUGAUGGCAGAGAGGUCACACCCGUUCCCAUACCGAACACGGAAGUUAAGCUCUCUAGCGCCGAUGGUAGUUGGGACCUUGUCCCUGUGAGAGUAGGACGUUGCCAGGCAA